UGGGGAAUAUUGCACAAUGGGCGCAAGCCUGAUGCAGCCAUGCCGCGUGUAUGAAGAAUGCCUUCGGGUUGUAAAGUACUUUCAGUCGGGAGGAAGGUGGUAAGGUUAAUAACCUUAUCAAUUGACGUUACCGACAGAAGAAGCACCGGCUAACUCCGUGCCAGCAGCCGCGGUAAUACGGAGGGUGCAAGCGUUAAUCGGAAUUACUGGGCGUAAAGCGCACGCAGGCAGUUGAUUGAAUCAGAUGUGUAAUCCCCGGGCUUAACCCGGGAAUUGCAUCUGAUACUGGGCAGCUAGAGGCGUGUGGAGGGGGGUAGAAUUCCAUGUGGAGCGGUGAAAUGCGUAAAGAUGUGGAGGAAUACCGGUGGCGAAGGCGGCCCCCUGGACAAAGACUGACGCUCAGGUGCGAAAGCGUGGGGAGCAAACAGG
RNAcentral lists this ribosomal RNA (429 nucleotides) under Chloroflexota bacterium. Its description in RNAcentral is "Chloroflexi bacterium partial 16S ribosomal RNA". It matches the Rfam family "Bacterial small subunit ribosomal RNA", at positions 355 to 776 of the family's 1533-position model. Lineage: Bacteria; Bacillati; Chloroflexota. The record is from RNAcentral.